AUCCCGCCUCCCGGCUGUCCUGACUGGUCACGUUGGUGAAGGUCAAAGGUCAGUCUGAGCUGAACGUAGAAGAAGACGUUGGACGUUGAAGAAGACGUAGGAGACGUAGAAGACGUAGAACUGGUCAGCAGAGACUUCAGUGGAGAUCUUGUAGCCAACAGAGGAGAUUUCAGAGACUUGAGGAGAUUUCAGAGAUUCCAGACAAAGAGACUUUUCUGGUGCUGGAUGGCAAGCCCAGCCCAGUCCAUAAAGAUACCGAGCCAGCUGCAGUUAGCUGGCUGUGAAGCAAGCUAACACGCUCUUGUAUUCUACACCUGCAUCAAGUGCGGUAGGAUUGAACCAUACACACACAUACAGCUCCGGAGACAUCAUACACAACUUGCUUCAUGUUGUUCCUGCAGUGGAACUGGAGUUUGAACUGUGGCUCUUACAAAACCCUUCAAACUAUACCUGGGUCUUUAUUCCCUAUUUAAAGUUGACACUGUUUGUUAUUUUAGUUUAUUAUUUUCUAACAGCGUGUAUUGUGUACAUAUUGUACACAAAUGUGCUUAUUAACGCAAUCUAACUGUUUAAUACAUUCAGUUAAAAUUA
This is a long non-coding RNA of Acanthopagrus latus (yellowfin seabream), 591 nucleotides long. RefSeq lists it as uncharacterized. NCBI's taxonomy places the organism in Eukaryota, Metazoa, Chordata, Actinopteri, Spariformes, Sparidae. The record is from RefSeq and is a predicted model, not a curated record. The transcript has 2 exons.